RNAcentral lists this long non-coding RNA (762 nucleotides) under Mytilus galloprovincialis (Mediterranean mussel). The record is from RNAcentral. Lineage: Eukaryota; Metazoa; Mollusca; Bivalvia; Mytilida; Mytilidae.
UUUUUUAAUUGAUGUAAAAUGUAAAGUGCAUGGCUCUGUCUGUAUCCUGGCAUUGGCUGUUGUCUCUGUUGUUUUUUUAGCCCACUUUCUACAUUAUGAUAUUCUCUGAGUCCGUCAUACCGGUACCACAGUCCUUGAAUUUUAAUACUGCAAUUGAAGUGGCCACCAUUGCCAUAUGUAAUGGCAAAGAGUUAGUAGCUCCAAAUUAUAAACAUCCACUGUUUCCAACUAUGAUAAUUGACAUUCCAUUGAAAAAAGAGGUAUAAAGAAUGAUACAGAAUGAUACAAAGGAAAAUACUACCGGUAUACAAGUCUGUGUCAUACACAAUCAGGGCUACUUUAAAAGACUGUUUUAAUAUGAUACCAUAUCUAUCCCUGUUAUAAAAUGAACAUAUCAUGUUUAUAAUAGUUGCAGUUUUAAGUAUGUCUUAAUGUAGUAGCAUACAUGUGGGAGAUUUGGAAUGCUUUUAAAUAUUUCUGGAUCAAACACUAUUACAGGAAAAUACAAAAAGUAAUAAGGUAUAAAUAUAAAUCUUAGCUUAAUCUUUAGACUGGACAGAUGUUUAUAAUCUGCUGUUCCACUGUCUCAACUGUUGUUAUUUUCACUAUUCUCAAAUUCACUUUCAGCAGUGCAAUUUUUUUUUUCAAGCAGGUGACAGCAUAAUUUUUUUUUUCAGCUACAGUGCAAAACAUAAUUUUUUUUUCGUUCAGCUAGGCCAUCAAAAUAUUUUUUUCAAAAAAAUCCCAGGCCCCCCCCCCCCC